CAGAUCACUGUCAGCAGGAGUGUGUGUCUCUUAUAAGCAAAGGGGUAUGCAAAUGUGGGAGACACUUUCCUGUUUAAAUCUGUGCCUCUCUCUGCUCAGGCUGCACCUGGAGACACAAUCCACAGUCCCCUGGGUCUGUGCAGUGACCUGCCAGUCUCCUGAGAACUUUCCCCUCCAACACCCGGGGAAAUGGGAUUUUUGCUCUUUGUAAUUGUCGCUGUAGCAGCUUUGGAAGGUGUCCGCUCCCAGACGCUGGUGGAGUCCGGAGGGGGUGUGAAGAAGCCCGGAGACUCUCUGCGCCUCUCCUGCAAAGCCUCCGGCUUCACCUUCAGCAGCUACGGGAUGGGCUGGGUCCGCCAGGCUCCCGGGAAGGGGCUGGAGUGGGUCUCACGCAUUUACACGGAUGGGAGCCAACAAUUUUACGCCGACUCAGUGAAAGGCCGAUUCACCAUCUCCAGGGACAACCCCAACAAGCUGCGGUAUCUCCAGGGGAGCGGCCUGAGGGCCGAGGGCACCGCCCGGUAUCACUGGGCGAGAGACACAGUGCGGGGAAGCCGGGCUGGGCUCAGACAAAAACCGGCCCCCGCCGGCUAAGGACAAACCCUCCGCUGGGGGCGCUGCAGCUCUACAGCUCGCGGCGGGGAGAGCAGGGAAGUUAAAUUCCGCCUCCCCUGGGCUUCCUCUGCGAGGUUCCCACACACACAACUGCAGACCCUG
Non-coding RNA from Dermochelys coriacea (leatherback sea turtle), 717 nucleotides. The record is from the annotation of a RefSeq genome assembly. Lineage: Eukaryota; Metazoa; Chordata; Testudines; Dermochelyidae.